This 486-nucleotide ribosomal RNA is filed under the name uncultured bacterium. RNAcentral's name for it is "partial 16S ribosomal RNA". It matches the Rfam family "Bacterial small subunit ribosomal RNA", at positions 30 to 507 of the family's 1533-position model. The record is from RNAcentral.
AUUGAACGCUGGCGGCAUGCCUUACACAUGCAAGUCGAACGGCAGCACGGGUGCUUGCACCUGGUGGCGAGUGGCGAACGGGUGAGUAAUACAUCGGAACAUGUCCUGUAGUGGGGGAUAGCCCGGCGAAAGCCGGAUUAAUACCGCAUACGAUCUACGGAUGAAAGCGGGGGACCUUCGGGCCUCGCGCUAUAGGGUUGGCCGAUGGCUGAUUAGCUAGUUGGUGGGGUAAAGGCCUACCAAGGCGACGAUCAGUAGCUGGUCUGAGAGGACGACCAGCCACACUUGGACUUAGACACCGCCCCGACUCCUACGGGAGGGCGCAGUGGGGAAUUUUGGACAAUGGGCGAAAGCCUGAUCCAGCAAUGCCGCGUGUGUGAAGAAGGCCUUCGGGUUGUAAAGCACUUUUGUCCGGAAAGAAAUCCUUGGCCCUAAUACGGUCGGGGGAUGACGGUACCGGAAGAAUAAGCACCGGCUAACUACGUG